UGAAUCCGGUGAUCCUGCCGGAGGCCGUUGCUAGCGAAACCCGAUUUAGCCAUGCUAGACGCGCGAGUUCAGACUCGCGGCGCCGAGCUCAGUAACACGUGGCCAAACUACCCUACAGAGACGGAUACCCUCGGGAAACUGAGGUUAACCCGUCAUACCGAUCUCAGGCUUGAAUCGCAGAGAUCACAAAACGCCCCGGCGCUGUAGGAUGUGGCUGCGGUUGAUUAGGUAGACGGUGGGGUAACGGCCCACCGUGCCCAUAAUCAGUACAGGUUGUGAGAGCAAGAACCUGGAGACGGAAUCUGAGACAAGAUUCCGGGCCCUACGGGGCGCAGCAGGCGCGAAACCUUUACACUGCACGCACGUGCGAUAAGGGGACUCCGAGUGCGAGGGCAUAUCGUCCUCGCUUUCGUGUACCGUAGGGUGGUACACCAACAAGGGCUGGGCAAGACCGGUGCCAGCCGCCGCGGUAAUACCGGCAGCCCGAGUGAUGGCCGAUCUUAUUGGGCCUAAAGCGUCCGUAGCU
This 526-nucleotide ribosomal RNA is filed under the name uncultured haloarchaeon. Its description in RNAcentral is "bacterial SSU rRNA". It matches the Rfam family "Archaeal small subunit ribosomal RNA", at positions 1 to 526 of the family's 1478-position model. The record is from RNAcentral. Lineage: Archaea; Methanobacteriati; Methanobacteriota; Halobacteria; Halobacteriales; Halobacteriaceae.